AUGCCAGGAAACAGCAACUGUUUCAUUAACACAGCGCUCAAAGCAGUGAAGGGGUGGGGCAGCGCUGAGUGUAUUCAUAUCCAUGUGUGUGUCAAUGUGUGUGGUUGUGUUCGACAGUCUGAGUGUAUUCAUAUCCAUGUGUGUGUCAAUGUGUGUGGUUGUGUUCUACAGUCUGAGUGUAUUCAUAUCCAUGUGUGUGUCAAUGUGUGUGGUUGUGUUCGACAGUCUGAGUGUAUUCAUAUCCAUGUGUGUGUCAAUGUGUGUGGUUGUGUUCGACAGUCUGAGUGUAUUCAUAUCCAUGUGUGUGUCAAUGUGUGUGGUUGUGUUCGACAGUCUGAGUGUAUUCAUAUCCAUGUGUGUGUCAAUGUGUGUGGUUGUGUUCUACAGUCUGAGUGUAUUCAUAUCCAUGUGUGUGUCAAUGUGUGUGGUUGUGUUCGACAGUCUGAGUGUAUUCAUAUCCAUGUGUGUGUCAAUGUGUGUGGUUGUGUUCGACAGUCUGAGUGUAUUCAUAUCCAUGUGUGUGUCAAUGUGUGUGGUUGUGUUCUACAGUCUGAGUGUAUUCAUAUCCAUGUGUGUGUCAAUGUGUGUGGUUGUGUUCUACAGUCUGAGUGUAUUCAUAUCCAUGUGUGUGUCAAUGUGUGUGGUUGUGUUCUACAGUCUGAGUGUAUUCAUAUCCAUGUGUGUGUCAAUGUGUGUGGUUGUGUUCGACAGUCUGAGUGUAUUCAUAUCCAUGUGUGUGUCAAUGUGUGUGGUUGUGUUCUACAGUCUGAGUGUAUUCAUAUCCAUGUGUGUGUCAAUGUGUGUGGUUGUGUUCUACAGUCUGAGUGUAUUCAUAUCCAUGUGUGUGUCAAUGUGUGUGGUUGUGUUCGACAGUCUGAGUGUAUUCAUAUCCAUGUGUGUGUCAAUGUGUGUGGUUGUGUUCUACAGUCUGAGUGUAUUCAUAUCCAUGUGUGUGUCAAUGUGUGUGGUUGUGUUCUACAGUCUGAGUGUAUUCAUAUCCAUGUGUGUGUCAAUGUGUGUGGUUGUGUUCUACAGUCUGAGUGUAUUCAUAUCCAUGUGUGUGUCAAUGUGUGUGGUUGUGUUCGACAGUCUGAGUGUAUUCAUAUCCAUGUGUGUGUCAAUGUGUGUGGUUGUGUUCUACAGUCUGAGUGUACACUACAGUAG
Molecule: long non-coding RNA, 1164 nt
Filed under: Oncorhynchus mykiss (rainbow trout)
Lineage: Eukaryota; Metazoa; Chordata; Actinopteri; Salmoniformes; Salmonidae
Description: lncRNA (ENSOMYG00000074457.1)
Source: RNAcentral